GACGAACGCUGGCGGCGUGCCUAAUACAUGCAAGUCGAACGCAUUUUCUUUCACCGUAGCUUGCUACACCGAAAGAAAAUGAGUGGCGAACGGGUGAGUAACACGUGGGUAACCUGCCCAUCAGCGGGGGAUAACACUUGGAAACAGGUGCUAAUACCGCAUAAUUCCAUUUACCGCAUGGUAAAUGGAUGAAAGGCGCUUUUGCGUCACUGAUGGAUGGACCCGCGGUGCAUUAGCUAGUUGGUGGGGUAACGGCCUACCAAGGCUGCGAUGCAUAGCCGACCUGAGAGGGUGAUCGGCCACACUGGGACUGAGACACGGCCCAGACUCCUACGGGAGGCAGCAGUAGGGAAUCUUCGGCAAUGGACGCAAGUCUGACCGAGCAACGCCGCGUGAGUGAAGAAGGUUUUCGGAUCGUAAAACUCUGUUGUUAGAGAAGAACAAGGAUUAGAGUGGAAAGUUCAUCCCUUGACGGUAUCUAACCAGAAAGCCACGGCUAACUACGUG
This 507-nucleotide ribosomal RNA is filed under the name uncultured bacterium. RNAcentral describes it as "partial 16S ribosomal RNA". It matches the Rfam family "Bacterial small subunit ribosomal RNA", at positions 28 to 507 of the family's 1533-position model. The record is from RNAcentral.